UACGCAGGGGGCUAGCGUUGCUCGGAAUUACUGGGCGUAAAGGGUGCGUAGGCGGGUCUUUAAGUCAGAGGUGAAAUCCUGGAGCUCAACUCCAGAACUGCCUUUGAUACUGAGGAUCUUGAGUUCGGGAGAGGUGAGUGGAACUGCGAGUGUAGAGGUGAAAUUCGUAGAUAUUCGCAAGAACACCAGUGGCGAAGGCGGCUCACUGGCCCGAUACUGACGCUGAGGCACGAAAGCGUGGGGAGCAAACAGG
Molecule: ribosomal RNA, 253 nt
Filed under: uncultured bacterium
Lineage: Bacteria
Description: partial 16S ribosomal RNA
Rfam family: Bacterial small subunit ribosomal RNA
Source: RNAcentral